RNAcentral lists this ribosomal RNA (604 nucleotides) under Ditylum brightwellii. RNAcentral describes it as "partial Bacterial large subunit ribosomal RNA". It matches the Rfam family "Bacterial large subunit ribosomal RNA", at positions 1 to 565 of the family's 2925-position model. Lineage: Eukaryota; Bacillariophyta; Thalassiosirophyceae; Lithodesmiales; Lithodesmiaceae. The record is from RNAcentral.
AAGUUUCCAAGGGCGCAUGGUGGAUGCCUUGGCAACAGGAGCCGAAGAAGGACGUGGGAAUCUGCGAUAAGCCUGGUGGAGUCGAUAACCGGACGUUGAGACCAGGAUUUCCGAAUGGGGAAACCCCGCACGACGUGUCGUGUGACCCCCGGUUGAACACAUAGACCGGGUGGAGGGAACGUGGGGAAGUGAAACAUCUCAGUACCCACAGGAAGAGAAAACAAAAGUGAUUCCGUUAGUAGUGGCGAGCGAACGCGGAUGGGGCUAAACCGUAUGUGUGUGAUACCCGGCAGGGGUUGCAUGUGCGGUGUUGUGGGCCCCUCCUUGUCAUGUCUGCCGGCAUGGCGCAGUGAGGUGCGGGCAUAUAGACGAACCAGUGUGGAUGCUGGACCGUAGAGGGUGAGAGUCCCGUAGUCGAAAUGUGUUCCGCCGCUGUUGGAGGGUUGCCCGAGUAGCACGGGGCCCGAGGAAUCCCGUGUGAAUCUGCCAGGACCACCUGGUAAGCCUGAAUACUACCUGUUGACCGAUAGCGGAUCAGUACCGUGAGGGAAUGGUGAAAAGUACCCCGGGAGGGGAGUGAAAUAGUACCUGAAACCAUGUGCCU